This is a long non-coding RNA of Nycticebus coucang (slow loris), 2080 nucleotides long. RefSeq lists it as uncharacterized. Lineage: Eukaryota; Metazoa; Chordata; Mammalia; Primates; Lorisidae. The transcript has 2 exons. The record is from RefSeq and is a predicted model, not a curated record.
CUGAGCUUCAAAAGGAUCCACGGAGCAGGUACCUGCAGGGACGUCUGUGUGCUUGUCUCCUGAGGCCAACCUGCCAUCGUCUACACCAUUGAAAGCUGCAGAACCGUUGAGGUGCUGAGCAGAAGGCUUAAAGAAGAUGGUGCUGGCUGGGAGAUGGCAGUGGAUGGAGGUGGCUGGAGAAUGGGCUGCAAAGGAGCAGCUGAGGCCUGGGGCUGCUGUGCCCGGAUGUUCUUAGACACCUCUUCUAACCAUCGGUCGGCCUCUGAGGGUGUACGUCUGUGACCCGCCUGGAAGAGACCUGCAGAGGCAGCACCAGAAGAUUGACUCCACUCAGUCCCUGGAAACAAGAUAAAGACAGACAAAAGAAUCAGUUAAGGGGCUUCUUUCCUCACCUUUUAACCUUGGUUAUUUGAAUGAUCCUAAUAUGUGGAACAGAUCCCCUUACUGCGACAUUUUGUGGUUUUGGGAGGAAAGUCUCUGUUAGCAACUGAGAAGAUUUUAUGGUAGAAUAAAGAGAAGCUAUCACACAUCAGAGACAACAGCCACAUUGAGGCACUUUCUAGAUAUGGCUCUAGUGCACUGAGAACCAAAGCAGCUGGCUGGUGUCAGAAACCCUUCCCUAUUGCAGUAGCUCAUCCACAAUACAGCAGAUUCAUCUUCUGCUCCAUCAGGACUAAGAGAAAAUAACCAGUGGCCUGGCCAUACUUUACUGGCAGCCCCUGCCUGGCUUCUAGAUACAUGCUGGCUUUCUGGUGAACUUCCUUUAUUACCAUUUUAAAAUGUUUUGGUUGGGUGGCGCCUGUGGCUCAAGGAGUAGGGCGCCGGUCCCAUAGGUCAGAGGUGGCAGGUUCAAACCUAGCCCAGGCCAAAAACUACAAAAAAAAAAAAAAAUGUUUUGGUUUAUAGUUAACAGAUAUCAUCACAGAAAAACUAAUACAGAAAGCAAGAAUAAAGUGCUUUUUGUAGCAUUUAUUUGUAGUCCUGCCAUUGUAAGAGGCAGGGUCAUCUUUUCCUAUAAGCAUGUCCACACAUCAUCAAAUCCAGUGAUGGAUUCUCUGAGAUGGGGCCCAGGAAUGUGUAUUUUAUAAAAGACUAUAAACCUAAUCUCUCUUCUUCUCUCUCACCAUUAUUUCUUAAUAGCAGCUUAUUUCCAGAAGAGAAUAUUCUUGUCCUAAAAGGAUUCCUCCCUAGUUCCCAUUCAGGUAACUGGCUGAUUUUAGAAUCAUGGUCACUUAUCUGAUCCCAGAAUCCUCACCACCAUCUGUGGCCACCUUACCCGAACAUGUGGCUGCAAUUUCCUUGUUACCAGCAUCAGGGGCAUGGGCCCAGGGGUUGGUCUCACGCACAGGCAUUGCUACGGGUGCUAGAGCAGUAUGGGCUGGCUUAGCAGCAAGCACAUGGAAGGCUGGGUCAGUGCCAUUAGCUACAAUGGGAGCAGACAACAUCAAUGGAGUUAAUUCAUGCAGGGUGUACAAGUGAUCCCUUGGAGCUGGGUCAGUCAGACCAAGAUACAAAACUGGUGGAAUGGAUAAGACAGAAGAGUUGAUGUUAGGGUAACCAUGCUGUCUUGCAAUGGAUACAUAUACCUUUAGGCCAGUGGUUCUCAACCUUCCUAAUGUUGCGGCCCUUUAAUACAGUUCCUGUGGGUUGCGACCCACAGGUUGAAAACUGCUGCUUUAGGCAAAGAGAGAAUUAGAGGUUGUAAUUUAAAUGAAGCCCCAAACAAUUUCAGUUAAGUUGAACAGAGCUGCACUUAGCCUUUGGCAUAAUGAAGUAGGUAAAGCAUUUCCCUCUUCUAUAGUUUUCCAAAAGGCCAAAUUAUGCCACUAAUGUCUUAAAUAUAAUGAUUACUUGUUUCCCUCUCAAAACUUAAAAUAUAUAUACGCACACACACAUUCACACAUAAAAUGAUUCCUUAUUUAUUAUGUGUCAGACACUAUGCUAACAGCACUUUACAUGCAUCAUCUCAUUUAGUUCUUUCAAAAUCUCUGUAAGGCUGGUAUUAUCCCUAUAUUACAGAUCAGAAAUCAAACUUGAUAUAUGUAUUCAUUGCUUAAUAAAUUUGUAAUUUGCUACAGAA